Non-coding RNA from Mycena rosella, 97 nucleotides. The record is from the annotation of a GenBank genome assembly. NCBI's taxonomy places the organism in Eukaryota, Fungi, Basidiomycota, Agaricomycetes, Agaricales, Mycenaceae.
GCCUCCGUAGAUGAGCGGUUAAUCGCCUCGCACUAUCAUUCGCGAUACUUGGAGUGCGUGUUGUGAGGAGACGUGGGUUCGAGUCCUGCCGGCGGCG